AAGGAUGUGAGGAGGAAGACGCAGUGAACUGAAACAUCUAAGUAGCUGCAGGAAGAGAAAGCAAAAGCGAUUGCCUUAGUAGCGGCGAGCGAAACGGCAGGAGGGCAAACCGAAGAGUUUACUCUUCGGGGUUGUAGGACUGCAAUGUGGACUCAAAGAUUAUAGAAGAAUGAUUUGGGAAGAUCAGCCAAAGAGAGUAAUAGCCUCGUAUUUAAAAUAGUCUUUGUACCUAGCAGUAUCCUGAGUACGGCGGGACACGUGAAAUCCCGUCGGAAUCUGGGAGGACCAUCUCCCAACCCUAAAUACUCCCUAGUGACCGAUAGUGAACCAGUACCGUGAGGGAAAGGUGAAAAGCACCCCGGGAGGGGAGUGAAAUAGAACCUGAAACCGUGUGCCUACAACAAGUUCGAGCCCGUUAAUGGGUGAGAGCGUGCCUUUUGUAGAAUGAACCGGCGAGUUACGUUAUGAUGCGAGGUUAAGUUGAAGAGACGGAGCCGUAGGGAAACCGAGUCUGAAUAGGGCGCCUUAGUAUCAUGACGUAGACCCGAAACCAUGUGACCUACCCAUGAGCAGGUUGAAGGUGCGGUAAGACGCACUGGAGGACCGAACCAGGGCACGUUGAAAAGUGCUUGGAUGACUUGUGGGUAGCGGAGAAAUUCCAAACGAACUUGGAGAUAGCUGGUUCUCUCCGAAAUAGCUUUAGGGCUAGCGUCGACAUUAGAGAUUCUUGGAGGUAGAGCACUGUUUGGGUGAGGGGUCCAUCCCGGAUUACCAAUCUCAGAUAAACUCCGAAUGCCAAUGAAUUAUGGUCGGCAGUCAGACUGCGAGUGCUAAGAUCCGUAGUCGAAAGGGAAACAGCCCAGACCACCAGCUAAGGUCCCAAAAUAAUUGUUAAGUGGAAAAGGAUGUGGGGUUGCACAGACAACUAGGAUGUUAGCUUAGAAGCAGCUAUUCAUUCAAAGAGUGCGUAAUAGCUCACUAGUCGAGUGACCCUGCGCCGAAAAUGUACCGGGGCUAAAACAAUUUACCGAAGCUGUGGAUACCUUUAUAGGUAUGGUAGGAGAGCGUUCUAUGUGUGAUGAAGGUAUACCGUGAGGAGUGCUGGAACGCAUAGAAGUGAGAAUGCCGGUAUGAGUAGCGAAAGACAGGUGAGAAUCCUGUCCACCGUAAGACUAAGGUUUCCAGGGGAAGGCUCGUCCGCCCUGGGUUAGUCGGGACCUAAGGAGAGACCGAAAGGUGUAUCCGAUGGACAACAGGUUGAUAUUCCUGUACUAGAGUAUGUAGUGAUGGAGGGACGCAGUAGGCUAACUAAAGCAGACGAUUGGAAGAGUCUGUCUAAGCAGUGAGGUGUGAAUUGAGUCAAAUGCUUAAUUCUAUAACAUUGAGCUGUGAUGGGGAGCGAAGUUUAGUAGCGAAGUUAGUGACGUCACACUGCCAAGAAAAGCUUCUAGCGUUUAAACAUACUCUACCCGUACCGCAAACCGACACAGGUAGUCGAGGCGAGUAGCCUCAGGUGAGCGAGAGAACUCUCGUUAAGGAACUCGGCAAAAUGACCCCGUAACUUCGGGAGAAGGGGUGCUGACUUAAAGUCAGCCGCAGUGAAUAGGCCCAAGCAACUGUUUAUCAAAAACACAGCUCUCUGCUAAAUCGUAAGAUGAUGUAUAGGGGGUGACGCCUGCCCGGUGCUGGAAGGUUAAGAGGAGUGCUUAGCGUAAGCGAAGGUAUGAAUUGAAGCCCCAGUAAACGGCGGCCGUAACUAUAACGGUCCUAAGGUAGCGAAAUUCCUUGUCGGGUAAGUUCCGACCCGCACGAAAGGCGUAAUGAUUUGGGCACUGUCUCAACGAGAGACUCGGUGAAAUUUUAGUACCUGUGAAGAUGCAGGUUACCCGCGACAGGACGGAAAGACCCCAUGGAGCUUUACUGCAGUUUGAUAUUGAGUGUCUGUACCACAUGUACAGGAUAGGUAGGAGUCUAAGAGAUCGGGACGCCAGUUUCGAAGGAGACGCUGUUGGGAUACUACCCUUGUGUUAUGGCCACUCUAACCCAGAUAGGUGAUCCCUAUCGGAGACAGUGUCUGACGGGCAGUUUGACUGGGGCGGUCGCCUCCUAAAAGGUAACGGAGGCGCCCAAAGGUUCCCUCAGAAUGGUUGGAAAUCAUUCGCAGAGUGUAAAGGUAUAAGGGAGCUUGACUGCGAGAGCUACAACUCGAGCAGGGACGAAAGUCGGGCUUAGUGAUCCGGUGGUUCCGUAUGGAAGGGCCAUCGCUCAACGGAUAAAAGCUACCCUGGGGAUAACAGGCUUAUCUCCCCCAAGAGUUCACAUCGACGGGGAGGUUUGGCACCUCGAUGUCGGCUCGUCGCAUCCUGGGGCUGUAGUCGGUCCCAAGGGUUGGGCUGUUCGCCCAUUAAAGCGGCACGCGAGCUGGGUUCAGAACGUCGUGAGACAGUUCGGUCCCUAUCCGUCGCGGGCGUAGGAAAUUUGAGAGGAUCUGCUCCUAGUACGAGAGGACCAGAGUGGACUUACCGCUGGUGUACCAGUUGUCUUGCCAAAGGCAUCGCUGGGUAGCUAUGUAGGGAAGGGAUAAACGCUGAAAGCAUCUAAGUGUGAAACCCACCUCAAGAUGAGAUUUCCCAUGAUUAUAUAUCAGUAAGAGCCCUGAGAGAUGAUCAGGUAGAUAGGUUAGAAGUGGAAGUGUGGCGACACAUGUAGCGGACUAAUACUAAUAGCUCGAGGACUUAUCCAAA
RNAcentral lists this ribosomal RNA (2744 nucleotides) under Streptococcus pneumoniae. RNAcentral describes it as "partial 23S ribosomal RNA". It matches the Rfam family "Bacterial large subunit ribosomal RNA". Lineage: Bacteria; Bacillati; Bacillota; Bacilli; Lactobacillales; Streptococcaceae. The record is from RNAcentral.